Molecule: ribosomal RNA, 465 nt
Filed under: uncultured Klebsiella sp.
Lineage: Bacteria; Pseudomonadati; Pseudomonadota; Gammaproteobacteria; Enterobacterales; Enterobacteriaceae
Description: bacterial SSU rRNA
Rfam family: Bacterial small subunit ribosomal RNA
Source: RNAcentral
CCUACGGGUGGCUGCAGUGGGGAAUAUUGCACAAUGGGCGCAAGCCUGAUGCAGCCAUGCCGCGUGUGUGAAGAAGGCCUUCGGGUUGUAAAGCACUUUCAGCGGGGAGGAAGGCGUUAAGGUUAAUAACCUUGUCGAUUGACGUUACCCGCAGAAGAAGCACCGGCUAACUCCGUGCCAGCAGCCGCGGUAAUACGGAGGGUGCAAGCGUUAAUCGGAAUUACUGGGCGUAAAGCGCACGCAGGCGGUCUGUCAAGUCGGAUGUGAAAUCCCCGGGCUCAACCUGGGAACUGCAUUCGAAACUGGCAGGCUAGAGUCUUGUAGAGGGGGGUAGAAUUCCAGGUGUAGCGGUGAAAUGCGUAGAGAGCUGGAGGAAUACCGGUGGCGAAGGCGGCCCCCUGGACAAAGACUGACGCUCAGGUGCGAAAGCGUGGGGAGCAAACAGGAUUAGAUACCCGGGUAGUC